UGCGCGAAACAGGAGAACCUCGCCUUCCUGCGGAGCUGUGGUCCCCCACAGGCUGUUGUGCCCGGCGUUUCAGCUGUGCUGCUCCUGGGUGGCGGGGCCCGGGGCGCACCCCCUUCCGCCCCAACCCAGUGUAGUGGGGCGCUGUCCGGGAGAGGGGCGGGAGAGGCGGGCGUCGGUCUCCGACCGUGAGCGCCAGUCUGCAGCGCCCUCUGGGCGUGGGCACCGAGCGUUCUCCAGAUAGGAUGGAUGCAGCUGGAGCAGUCAUCUUGGACAUGAAGUAACCUUGAGAACAGAGACCGCGCAUGGCAGAGGACCAGGUAGAAGGAGCUUGGGUCCCCAGGCAACGAAGCAGCACACCAGCCUGGGACUGCCCACGCAGCUGUGUGCAUGAUGGAGGGAUCGACUUCUGCGUUUCUUCAGACAUGGUUAUCCGGAUUUUCUACCCUCGCCAGGGACCCUGACAAUACACUGGUCAACCUGGCCUUCUGCACCUGCCCCAGAAGAGUGUGGGGAGGACCGUUGCGUGUGGGGAGGUGGGAGAAGGAGGUUUCUGAAGGUGCUGCUGAUAGGUCCCCAGGGGGGGGGGGUGACCCCACUAGCUCCCCAGUCCUGGACUGUAUUAAAUUCUGGAUUUGAUUCACA
This is a long non-coding RNA of Mustela lutreola (European mink), 642 nucleotides long. RefSeq lists it as uncharacterized. Lineage: Eukaryota; Metazoa; Chordata; Mammalia; Carnivora; Mustelidae. The record is from RefSeq and is a predicted model, not a curated record. The transcript is spliced from 2 exons.